UUCGUCAGACGUUCAUUCCCUUGGUUAGCUAGCGUUUACUGAGUAGUUACUUUUAUUUAUUAUUUACAUGUAAUAAAAUAUUUUCAAGUUUAGUUCACAUGUGUUGGUUGGUGAUCAUCAAUCAACUCUAGUCAACAGGAUGUGAGUCGAGAUGAUCAUGAGAAAUAGGAAACUAGAUGUAAGACAAGUGCUCGUGAUGGAGAAUUUUGAAGUUAGGUUGAGUGCAGAAAUUCUGUGAAUCAAAAUAACCAUGCAAGUUUAUCAGGGAUCUAGACAUUGAAAAAAAACAACUUUGACACAUAGAAGAUACAAAUAGAAGCGGUGCUCAUAGAAAAUGACGUGUGGGAUUUGGUGAACGGAAGAAAAGUGAAACCGAGCCACGAUGAUGCCAGAGAAACUGGCGAUAGUGAAGUGAAAUUCAAUAUAAUUUUCUUGGUAAAUCCGUUGGAAAUAAAACAAGUCAAAGGAUGUAGUAGCUCCUGCGAAGCAUAGCUAAUGUUGGAUAGCAUAUAUCAAUCUCAGGCAACAGCUCAGAAAGGCAUUCUGUUAAAACAACACGUCUUGUAAUAGAUGCAAAAUUAUGGCAAUGUACGCGAACAUGUACGUAAAUUCUUUGAUACAGUUGAUAAGCUAAACGAAAUAGAAGUUCUCCGAAAAAGGCGAAACCGGAGAAGAGUAGGUUGCGCAAUCGGGAGGAUUUCAAAUUUAGAUGUCAUCGAUGCAGAGAAAAAGGUCACCUACAAAGCCAAUGAAUGCAAGAAAAGACGGAAAGAGCCAAUCGCUUGCGAACAGCCAUAAACUGUAUUGAACUGCGCGCGAAUGAAGAUUUUUCGGAUACGAAAACAGCGAAUCGAGCGGAAAGUAUACGCUGCAAUAAUGUUUAGUGUUUGGACAGCAUAACGAACAUCGAAUUUAACUACCAGUGCGUCGUUUGAAAUUGUCGAGAGAUGAAAGGUAUCAUUCGCUGUCGAUGUUCAAGGAGAGAAGAAAAAUAUGACCUUGAAAAAUACGUUGGAAGAUGAUAAAGUUGCCGUUUACGAAUAGUUCGGUAAGAAAAGACGAGAUAUUCGACUUGAUACACUCGAAUCCUUGCGGUUCGAUGAAGAUUCCAUCUGUUGGAAAGGCCAAGUACUUUAUCACAUUUAUCGACGAUAAGUCAUGAUGUGAGGUAAGCUUUUUCAAACAUAAAAGUGAGGCUUCUGACACUUUUAGGAUUUUAAGGUUAUGGUAGAGAACCAGAAGGAGAGAAGAAUAAAAUAUCACCGAUCGGACAAUGGUACCGUUUUAAUUGAAACCUCCUGCCUAGAAUAUCCUGGAGAUUUCGUUAGUACUAUCGGCAAUUGUCUAUAACAUGAGCGUGCCAAGUGCACGAUUUCUUUUUGUACUGUGUGCAGUAAAAGCGAUAUAUUUUUCUUGUUGUAAUCUCUAUUAUAUUAAAGCGAUUUACAAUAGUUUUAAUCAUCAGGUGUAGUAUACUUGAACAAGGAAUUCGAGCAAUCUCCAAAACAAUAGGGGAUUCCUGCGAAGACUUGCCGUUUUGAGCGAAAGCGAUUUCAGCUGCGAAUUACAUAUGCAAUUGCUGCCCAAGCAGAAAAAGAAAAUUUGAGGAACAUACCAAACAAGGAAUACUUUCGUGCUAUUCAUGCCCGUGGGAUACAGGGUCUGGAACCAGGAAGAGAGAAAGAUAAUAGCGUCAAGAGACAUCUCGUUUUUGGAAACUUUUAAAGAUUAUGCCCUGAAAGAAGUCAAACGUUGAAGCUGCGCUUGAAAAUGACGAGGCUGAAAGUGAAAAGAUGUAGUUGUUGAGAAAUGUUAGAACUCGACCACGUGUUAAUUGGCCAAGUGUAUUCUGUGUGUUAAGACGUGUUGUACGAGGCGGAGAAAUAUAUGGAGAAAAUCAAAUCUGUGUGAAUCGAUUAAUUAUCAACCCCAAACCCAGAUCAAUUAACAGUAGUAUGAGUCGAGACUCCGGUCUCUUUAACCAGUUGGAGGAAAAGGCCAAAAAAUAUAAUACCAGGAGCCAUGUACUACCACCAUAUGCGCGGAAUUUGAAGUCGCCAACUUUAAGUAGACUAUUAGGUUAGCUAGUGUUACUUAUUAAGUAGGCUAUUGCAAGGGAAUUAGGUCGUGCAAAACAUGUUCAAUCCGGAUCGUACUUUGGAGCUCGACUGGUGGCUCGAAGAUUUGCCGAAUGUCUCGGGGUCCACUUUAACGAGACUUUUCCACCAGUAACUCUUAUGACCUCUAUGCGCCAUGUUUUGGCCAUAACGGCUAGAAACGGAAUGCACACCGUUUAUGGAUUACACACUGUUUCUGGAUUACACACCGUUGUGUGUCGUAUCUCACUUUCUCGCACUCGUCUGCAUCAAAGUUCACACUCAUUCUUCACACCAAUCACGCACUAACUGAUUCGGCGGGUCGUUCGGAAUUUUUCUCUCAGUAAUAUAGAAAAAUCUUUUCACUUUC
This is a long non-coding RNA of Bombus huntii, 2466 nucleotides long. RefSeq lists it as uncharacterized. The transcript is spliced from 3 exons. Lineage: Eukaryota; Metazoa; Arthropoda; Insecta; Hymenoptera; Apidae. The record is from RefSeq and is a predicted model, not a curated record.